UACGUAGGGUGCAAGCGUUAAUCGGAAUUACUGGGCGUAAAGCGUGCGCAGGCGGUGAUGUAAGACAGUUGUGAAAUCCCCGGGCUCAACCUGGGAACUGCAUCUGUGACUGCAUCGCUGGAGUACGGCAGAGGGGGAUGGAAUUCCGCGUGUAGCAGUGAAAUGCGUAGAUAUGCGGAGGAACACCGAUGGCGAAGGCAAUCCCCUGGGCCUGUACUGACGCUCAUGCACGAAAGCUAGGGGAGCGAAUGGG
Molecule: ribosomal RNA, 253 nt
Filed under: uncultured bacterium
Lineage: Bacteria
Description: partial 16S ribosomal RNA
Rfam family: Bacterial small subunit ribosomal RNA
Source: RNAcentral